GACGGAAUCAUGAAAAAUUCUAUUAAGCAACAUCGAGCUGCACAUUUACUAUUAUCAAUAAGUACGCAUCCUACGUGUAUACACAAUUACUAAAUAUACUUUAUUCAUCAUCAGAAUAUCUGUCCAAUGCAUACACUUAAAGAAAACAUCUCUUGGUUCCUCAGCAUUCAAAUAUCCUCAUAGAAUUGCGGACUGCCUGUCGACAGAGAGGACACUUCGGUGAUACCUCACGUUCAACUGAUAUAGCACAGAGUUGGCAACAAACAAGAUGCCCGCAUGGAAUGAAUGCAGAUCGUCUUCUCCUCAUCAAGCAUAUCACACACAACUGUCCAUCUGGCACAUCUCCUGCUUCCUCAUCUGCAUCAAUCAGAGGGGCAUCACCAUUGCUAGCAGCAUGGUUUUGUUGCUGAGACUGUCUAUGCUGCCUCCAUUCUUUCCACCUAUUCCAGUUCCUCACGACUGCAUAGCUGAGAACACCAAUUGAUAGUGAACCAAGAACAAUACCACUCCACAACAGUAUUUUUGUUUUGAAGGCAAGAUCUACCACCAUUUGAUCUUUACUCAUAUCGGACAGAAAAUAGGGAAGAUCCUUGCAAGAUUUUAUCUCAAGAACUCCAUUUCUAGAACUGCAAAUGCCAACAGCAUUGAUCUCCUUCCCUAAUGAGAGGAUUUUCUCCUCAUCAAGCAGCCCAACAGGGUAUUCAUGACCAAAAAGUGCCUGAAGGAAUGUAUAUGGAGAAGCAUCAAUAGGUUGCAAUUGAUGAUACAUUGUUGUAAGAGGCAGAGGAUGUCUUGAAGCAUCCAUAUUCACAAUAACAUAAUCUGAUUGAGGCCAUCGACCACCUUCAACAAGAACAAAAGGAACCGUUCGCAAUGAGAUUGAUUCUUGUUCUCUCCAAGAUCUGCCAAAGAUAGCUCGUAGAUCAGAAGUCCAUCCAAAGAAGCCCUUCCAUUCAUUGUAUAUACAAGUUUGAAUUCUCUGUACAAUAACAGCCUUAUCACCAGAUUCAUGCGCAACCAACACAUUAGACCUCCAGUUGCCAUCGAUGGCAGAUUUGGCCUCUACCUGUCCGCGUACAAUCACGAGCUUCUGAUUUUGGUCUUGGUCAAGAUUCUGGUUUUGGUUUUCAUCGGACGGCUGGGGAAGGUCAAGGAUGGAGCGGAGAUCGGAGACUCUAAGGGUAGGAGCCUUGCGAAUUUUACGAAGGGCUUUGGAAUUAGAUGUAAACUUCAGGAAGGAACGGACGGCGGCAUACGCAAGUGCUACGCCGAGAAUCGCUCCGUCGAAGGAUAGGGCAAGUUGGGAGACUAAAGAGGCCAGGGCUUGCUCGUGUGAAGACAUUUUCUUUUUUGGAAUUUUAUUUUACUUAUAUCACAUUUAGUGGUGGCGCACGUCAGGGGCACGGUGGCCGUCAAGGUGAUAGUGGUGGAGAGAGUUCGAGAAAUGGAGUGAUCUAG
This 1458-nucleotide unclassified non-coding RNA is filed under the name Hevea brasiliensis (rubber tree). The record is from RNAcentral. Lineage: Eukaryota; Viridiplantae; Streptophyta; Magnoliopsida; Malpighiales; Euphorbiaceae.